RNAcentral lists this ribosomal RNA (760 nucleotides) under Bradyrhizobium sp. TSBF-C. RNAcentral describes it as "partial 16S ribosomal RNA". Lineage: Bacteria; Pseudomonadati; Pseudomonadota; Alphaproteobacteria; Hyphomicrobiales; Nitrobacteraceae. The record is from RNAcentral.
CUGAGCGCGGUGUCCUUUCAUCUGUGUCCAGGAAAAGGAUUAGCAGGCAAACCGAGUUUAGUUCGCCUGGCAGUGCAUUCGGGAAUCAGAAGUCAGCCUGGGGUCAGUGGGCUUCCUCACACGUGGGGGAUCUAACGAAUAUAGCAUAAUUUCAGGGGAGCACGGCAGUAAGAUUACAACUCAAAGGAAUUCAAGAGGUUCAGCACCAGAGGCAGUUCAGGAGGUGAAAUUCGGGAUAUCGCGCAGAACUUAAAGAGCCCUUUACACGUCCAGGACGGGUAGCAAAGAUGAGCAAUUCUAUUCGGAUCCGGAAACACGGGGGUGGCAUCACGAAGUUCAGCGGGGGUUAUUAGAGGGGGGGCGAAGUUAUGCAACGAGAGCAAAGAGCGUCACAAGCCGAGGGCAUUUAUCAGACCCCUGGAAGGAGAGGGUCGGGGUUAACCCCAGAGGAAGGUGGGGACGACGUCAAGUUCUCGUAGGAGUUAGGGGCGGGUCUCCGUACCAAUGAGAAUGAUGGUGCUAUCGGGACAGUAAGGGAUGGUCGCUUGGAAAUGUCAAAAACCUGUCACAGAUCGGAUCAGACUCGGCAACGUUGAGUCCACGAAGAAUGAAUCGCUGGAAGUGCUGAUUCGGCACGACCCCAAGAUUACCUUGCGCGGUUCUGAUACAAAAGGCACGUCACCACACGGGAGUCGGCUUUCUGGAAGAGAGGUACGCUAACCAUCCAUGAAGCAGCAGGUUUGAGUAUGCCGGCUUAAAA